RNAcentral lists this ribosomal RNA (439 nucleotides) under uncultured bacterium. Its description in RNAcentral is "partial 16S ribosomal RNA". It matches the Rfam family "Bacterial small subunit ribosomal RNA", at positions 339 to 795 of the family's 1533-position model. The record is from RNAcentral.
CUACGGGCGGCAGCAGUGAGGAAUAUUGCACAAUGGGGGGAACCCUGAUGCAGCAACGCCGCGUGGAGGAUGACGCAUUUCGGUGUGUAAACUCCUUUUAUAUGUCAAGAAAAUGACGGUAGCAUAUGAAUAAGCACCGGCUAACUCCGUGCCAGCAGCCGCGGUAAUACGGAGGGGGCAAGCGUUACUCGGAAUCACUGGGCGUAAAGGACGCGUAGGCGGGUUGGAAAGUCAGGUGUGAAAUCCUACAGCUUAACUGUAGAACUGCAAUUGAAACUUCUAAUCUAGAGUAUGGGAGGGGAAAGUGGAAUUAGUGGUGUAGGGGUAAAAUCCGUAGAUAUCACUAGGAAUACCUAAAGCGAAGGCGAUCUCCUGGAACAUUACUGACGCUAAGGCGUGAAAGCGUGGGGAGCAAACAGGAUUAGAUACCCCCGUAGUC